GUGGGGAAUAUUGGACAAUGGGCGAAAGCCUGAUCCAGCCAUGCCGCGUGUGUGAAGAAGGUCUUCGGAUUGUAAAGCACUUUAAGUUGGGAGGAAGGGCAGUAAUUUAAUACCUUGCUGUUUUGACGUUACCGACAGAAUAAGCACCGGCUAACUUCGUGCCAGCAGCCGCGGUAAUACGAAGGGUGCAAGCGUUAAUCGGAAUUACUGGGCGUAAAGCGCGCGUAGGUGGUCUUGUAAGUUGGAGGUGAAAUCCCCGGGCUCAACCUGGGAACGGCAUCCAAAACUGAAUGACUAGAGUACGGUAGAGGAUAGUGGAAAUUCAUGUGUAGCGGUGAAAUGCGUAGAUAUAGGAAGGAACACCAGUGGCGAAGGCGACUACCUGGACUGAUACUGACACUGAGGUGCGAAAGCGUGGGGAGCAAACAGGAUUAGAAACCCUGGUAGUCC
Molecule: ribosomal RNA, 450 nt
Filed under: uncultured bacterium
Lineage: Bacteria
Description: partial 16S ribosomal RNA
Rfam family: Bacterial small subunit ribosomal RNA
Source: RNAcentral